RNAcentral lists this ribosomal RNA (119 nucleotides) under Triticum aestivum (bread wheat). Lineage: Eukaryota; Viridiplantae; Streptophyta; Magnoliopsida; Poales; Poaceae. The record is from RNAcentral.
GGAUGCGAUCAUACCAGCACUAAAGCACCGGAUCCCAUAAGAACUCCGAAGUUAAGCGUGCUUGGGCGAGAGUAGUACUAGGAUGGUUGACCUCCUGGGAAGUCCUUGUGUUGCAUUCC